This 511-nucleotide ribosomal RNA is filed under the name uncultured bacterium. Its description in RNAcentral is "bacterial SSU rRNA". It matches the Rfam family "Bacterial small subunit ribosomal RNA", at positions 15 to 518 of the family's 1533-position model. The record is from RNAcentral.
GAUCUUGGUUCAGGAUGAACGCUAGCUACAGGCUUAACACAUGCAAGUCGAGGGGCAGCAUGGGGUAGCAAUACUCAGAUGGCGACCGGCGCACGGGUGAGUAACACGUAUCCAACCUGCCGCUUACUCGGGGAUAGCCUUUCGAAAGAAAGAUUAAUACCCGAUGGUAUAAAGAGUUCGCAUGUUCUCUUUAUUAAAGAAUUUCGGUAAGCGAUGGGGAUGCGUUCCAUUAGAUAGUUGGCGGGGUAACGGCCCACCAAGUCUACGAUGGAUAGGGGUUCUGAGAGGAAGGUCCCCCACAUUGGAACUGAGACACGGUCCAAACUCCUACGGGAGGCAGCAGUGAGGAAUAUUGGUCAAUGGACGAGAGUCUGAACCAGCCAAAAGUAGCGUGAAGGAUGACUGCCCUAUGGGUUGUAAACUUCUUUUAUAAGGGAAUAAAGUGAGGGACGUGUCCCUUUUUGUAUGUACCUUAUGAAUAAGGAUCGGCUAACUCCGUGCCAGCCGCGGC